RNAcentral lists this ribosomal RNA (425 nucleotides) under uncultured bacterium. Its description in RNAcentral is "partial 16S ribosomal RNA". It matches the Rfam family "Bacterial small subunit ribosomal RNA", at positions 354 to 796 of the family's 1533-position model. The record is from RNAcentral.
GUGGGGAAUAUUGGGCAAUGGGCGAAAGCCUGACCCAGCAACGCCGCGUGAAGGAAGAAGGUUUUCGGAUCGUAAACUUCUAUCCUUGGUGAAGAUAAUGACGGUAGCCAAGAAGGAAGCCCCGGCUAACUACGUGCCAGCAGCCGCGGUAAUACGUAGGGGGCAAGCGUUGUCCGGAAUGAUUGGGCGUAAAGGGCGCGUAGGCGGCCUGGUAAGUCUGGAGUGAAAGUCCUGCUUUUAAGGUGGGAAUUGCUUUGGAUACUGUCGGGCUUGAGUGCAGGAGAGGUAAGCGGAAUUCCCGGUGUAGCGGUGAAAUGCGUAGAGAUCGGGAGGAACACCAGUGGCGAAGGCGGCUUACUGGACUGUAACUGACGCUGAGGCGCGAAAGUGUGGGGAGCAAACAGGAUUAGAUACCCGGGUAGUCC